CAGGUCUUGACAUCCUGUUGACCACUGUAGAGAUAUAGUUUCCCCUUCGGGGGCAACGGUGACAGGUGGUGCAUGGUUGUCGUCAGCUCGUGUCGUGAGAUGUUGGGUUAAGUCCCGCAACGAGCGCAACCCUUGAUCUUAGUUGCCAUCAUUUAGUUGGGCACUCUAAGGUGACUGCCGGUGACAAACCGGAGGAAGGUGGGGAUGACGUCAAAUCAUCAUGCCCCUUAUGACCUGGGCUACACACGUGCUACAAUGGACGAUACAAACGGUUGCCAACUCGCGAGAGGGAGCUAAUCCGAUAAAGUCGUUCUCAGUUCGGAUUGUAGGCUGCAACUCGCCUACAUGAAGCCGGAAUCGCUAGUAAUCGCGGAUCAGCAUGCCGCGGUGAAUACGUUCCCGGGCCUUGUACAUC
Molecule: ribosomal RNA, 415 nt
Filed under: Lysinibacillus fusiformis
Lineage: Bacteria; Bacillati; Bacillota; Bacilli; Caryophanales; Bacillaceae
Description: bacterial SSU rRNA
Rfam family: Bacterial small subunit ribosomal RNA
Source: RNAcentral